This 76-nucleotide transfer RNA is filed under the name Streptomyces sp. CBMA123. RNAcentral describes it as "tRNA-Pro". The record is from RNAcentral. Lineage: Bacteria; Bacillati; Actinomycetota; Actinomycetes; Kitasatosporales; Streptomycetaceae.
CUCGAAGCAGGCAGAGGAACGGCCCACUUGACUGGGGGUCAAGGGGUCGCAGGUUCAAAUCCUGUCGUCCCGACCG